UGGAUGGUUGUCCGAGCGGCCGAAGGAGCUGGUCUUGAAAACCAGUAGGCGGUAACCCCGUCUCAAGGGUUCAAAUCCCUUACCAUCCGCGUU
This 93-nucleotide transfer RNA is filed under the name Rothia mucilaginosa ATCC 25296. Its description in RNAcentral is "tRNA-Ser". It matches the Rfam family "tRNA". Rfam says of the family: Transfer RNA (tRNA) molecules are approximately 80 nucleotides in length. Their secondary structure includes four short double-helical elements and three loops (D, anti-codon, and T loops). Further hydrogen bonds mediate the characteristic L-shaped molecular structure. tRNAs have two regions of fundamental functional importance: the anti-codon, which is responsible for specific mRNA codon recognition, and the 3' end, to which the tRNAs corresponding amino acid is attached (by aminoacyl-tRNA synthetases). tRNAs cope with the degeneracy of the genetic code in two manners: having more than one tRNA (with a specific anti-codon) for a particular amino acid; and 'wobble' base-pairing, i.e. permitting non-standard base-pairing at the 3rd anti-codon position. Lineage: Bacteria; Bacillati; Actinomycetota; Actinomycetes; Micrococcales; Micrococcaceae. The record is from RNAcentral.